GACGAACGCUGGCGGCGUGCUUAACACAUGCAAGUCGAACGGAAAGGCCCUGCUUUUGUGGGGUGCUCGAGUGGCGAACGGGUGAGUAACACGUGAGUAACCUGCCCUUGACUUUGGGAUAACUUCAGGAAACUGGGGCUAAUACCGGCUAGGAGCUCCUGCUGCAUGGUGGGGGUUGGAAAGUUUCGGCGGUUGUGGAUGGACUCGCGGCUUAUCAGCUUGUUGGUGGGGUAGUGGCUUACCAAGGCUUUGACGGGUAGCCGGCCUGAGGGGGUGACCGGCCACAUUGGGACUGAGAUACGGCCCAGACUCCUACGGGAGGCAGCAGUGGGGAAUAUUGCACAAUGGGCGGAAGCCUGAUGCAGCAACGCCGCGUGCGGGAUGACGGCCUUCGGGUUGUAAACCGCUUUCGCCUGUGACGAAGCGUGAGUGACGGUAAUGGGUAAAGAAGCACCGGCUAACUACGUG
Molecule: ribosomal RNA, 468 nt
Filed under: uncultured bacterium
Lineage: Bacteria
Description: partial 16S ribosomal RNA
Rfam family: Bacterial small subunit ribosomal RNA
Source: RNAcentral